UAAGAGAUAAAAACACUGUCUGGUUGGUAGUCCAGACCUAUUUAUUAGAAGUAACCUGCCCUCCUGGGGUUGUCCAUUCUCUUGUAAUAAA
This 91-nucleotide non-coding RNA is filed under the name uncultured Terrisporobacter sp. RNAcentral describes it as "yjdF RNA". It matches the Rfam family "azaaromatic riboswitch aptamer (yjdF RNA)". The record is from RNAcentral. Lineage: Bacteria; Bacillati; Bacillota; Clostridia; Peptostreptococcales; Peptostreptococcaceae.